UAACACCGGAGCCACAAGUGGCGAUCAUUUUUAUUGGGUCUAAAACGUCUGUAGCUGGUUUAGUAAGUUUCCUGUGAAAUUGUUAAGCCUAACUUAACGAAGUGCAAGAAAUACUAUUAAACUUGAGACCGGGAGAGGGCAGAAGUAUUCCAGGGGGAGCGGUAAAAUGUUGUAAUCCCUGGAGGACUACCUAUGGCGAAGGCAUCUGUCUAGAACGGGUCUGACAGUGAGAGAUGAAGGCUAGGAGAACGAUCAGGAUUAGAUACCCUAGUAGCCCUAGCUGUAAACGCUGUGAGUUGGGUGUUGCAUAUUCUUCGUGAAUGUGCAGUGCCGUAGCGAAGGUGUUAAACUCACUACCUGGGAAGUACGAUCGCAAGAUUG
RNAcentral lists this ribosomal RNA (381 nucleotides) under uncultured archaeon. RNAcentral's name for it is "bacterial SSU rRNA". It matches the Rfam family "Archaeal small subunit ribosomal RNA", at positions 471 to 851 of the family's 1478-position model. The record is from RNAcentral.